Molecule: ribosomal RNA, 468 nt
Filed under: uncultured bacterium
Lineage: Bacteria
Description: partial 16S ribosomal RNA
Rfam family: Bacterial small subunit ribosomal RNA
Source: RNAcentral
GACGAACGCUGGCGGCGUGCUUAACACAUGCAAGUCGAACGGAAAGGCCCUGCUUUUGUGGGGUGCUCGAGUGGCGAACGGGUGAGUAACACGUGAGUAACCUGCCCUUGACUUUGGGAUAACUUCAGGAAACUGGGGCUAAUACCGGAUAGGAGCUCCUGCUGCAUGGUGGGGGUUGGAAAGUUUCGGCGGUUGGGGAUGGACUCGCGGCUUAUCAGCUUGUUGGUGGGGUAGUGGCUUACCAAGGCUUUGACGGGUAGCCGGCCUGAGAGGGUGACCGGCCACAUGGGGACUGAGAUACGGCCCAGACUCGUACGGGAGGCAGCAGUGGGGAAUAUUGCACAAUGGGCGGAAGCCUGAUGCAGCAACGCCGCGUGCGGGAUGACGGCCUUCGGGUUGUAAACCGCUUUCGCCUGUGACGAAGCGGGAGUGACGGUAAUGGGUAAAGAAGCACCGGCUAACUACGUG